UGCAGGGAGGAAUGAAAGAUGUGGGCAGCGCUCGGACGCCCAGACGGAGGGAACCGCCCCGGGAGAAGGUUAGGGUCCCGGGGCCAAAGAACAGGAGCCCCGGGAGGCGGGCGGGGUACGGUCGGAAGCGGGCUGACUCCUGCCCCCGCCGCCGGCUGCUUCUGCUGAGGAGGGUUGGGGGGGAGAGCGGGUGGGUCCCCCGCGCAACGGCCCCGCAGGGCUCAAGGCUGCUCCGUCUCCCCCCCUCCCCCCCACCCGGCUUCCGUCCCCGCGGCCGCUUUCUCCUCAGCCGCCGCGGCCGCCUUCUCCUCAGCCGCCGCCUCCUCAGCCGCCGGUUCCGCCGCGGCCGGACUCACCUCCCCUAGCAAAGCCGGAUAGAGCGGAGCCAGCGUCGGACACGCGCAACCAGCCGCCGAGGCCCCGCCCCCGCCUUGCACGGACCGGCUGCCCUAGCCAAUCCACGCCCACCUGUCCGCCACCGCCUCCAAUCCUGGGCCAGGAGCUUCAGACAGGCGCACUGUUCGGCCAGUGGCAACAAGGAGCAGGAAGCUGCGUGGUAAUCCCGCCUGCAAAAGCUGGAAGAGAGGGGCGGAACGAAAGAACCAAUCAUGAGCCAGAGACAAAGAACAGAGUAACCAAUCCUUGGGUUGAAAAUGAAGUGGGAUGGAACCUGGGCCAAAUAGACACUUGAAAAAACAAAUGGAAAAAAAAGGUUGAUGAGCUGAGCAUGAAGAACGAGAAGUCGGAAGUGAGUCAGCAGGAUAGCACUUAGAGCCUAAAAAAGCAAGCAGGACAUCAGAAUGCAUAAGCAGGAAUAUAAUGUGCAGGAAGUGGGAGGUGAUCUUCCCUUUCUUCCAAGAACUGGCUCACCCCAUGAGUUGUCUGCAAAGACUUUGCAGAACUUGGGCCAGGCCCAGGAAUAUUAAAGGACUACAAAAGGAGCAACUCACAUUCAACAGUGCUGGGUGCUCAACACCUGUUAUCUCAUGUGAUCAAUCGUCAAUAUGUCCCAUUUUGCAAAUGAAGAAACAGACUCGGGAA
Molecule: long non-coding RNA, 1041 nt
Filed under: Homo sapiens (human)
Lineage: Eukaryota; Metazoa; Chordata; Mammalia; Primates; Hominidae
Description: HSALNT0389167
Source: RNAcentral